GACGAACGCUGGCGGCGUGCUUAACACAUGCAAGUCGAACGGAAAGGCCCUGCGUUUGUGGGUUUCUCGAUUGGCGAACGGGUGAGUAACACGUGAGUAACCUGCCCUUGACUUUGUGAUAACUUCAGGAAACUGGGGCUAAUACCGGAUAGGAUCUCCUGCUGCAUGGUGGGGGUUGGAAAGUUUCGGCGGUUGGGGAUGGUCUCGCGGCUUAUCAGCUUGUUUGUGGGGUAGUGGCUUACCAAGCCUUUGACGGGUAGCCGGCCUGGGAGGGUUACCAGCCACAUUGGGACUGAGAUACGGCCCAGACUCCUACGGGAGGCAGCAGUGGGAAGUAUUACACAAUGGGGGGAAGCCAGAUGCAGCAACGCCGCGUGCGGAAUGCCGGCUUUCGGGUUGUAAACCGAUUUCGCCUGUGCCGAAGAGUGAGUGACGGUAAUGGGUAAAGAAGCACCGGCUAACUACGUG
RNAcentral lists this ribosomal RNA (468 nucleotides) under uncultured bacterium. RNAcentral's name for it is "partial 16S ribosomal RNA". It matches the Rfam family "Bacterial small subunit ribosomal RNA", at positions 28 to 507 of the family's 1533-position model. The record is from RNAcentral.